This 435-nucleotide ribosomal RNA is filed under the name uncultured bacterium. Its description in RNAcentral is "partial 16S ribosomal RNA". It matches the Rfam family "Bacterial small subunit ribosomal RNA", at positions 29 to 507 of the family's 1533-position model. The record is from RNAcentral.
AACGAACGCUGGCGGCAUGCCUAACACAUGCAAGUCGAACGAUUGCCUUCGGGUGAUAGUGGCACACGGGUGCGUAACGCGUGGGAAUCUGCCCUUAGGUUCGGAAUAACAGCUGGAAACGGCUGCUAAUACCGGAUGAUAUCGCGAGAUCAAAGAUUUAUCGCCUGAGGAUGAGCCCGCGUUGGAUUAGGUAGUUGGUGGGGUAAAGGCCUACCAAGCCGACGAUCCAUAGCUGGUCUGAGAGGAUGAUCAGCCACACUGGGACUGAGACACGGCCCAGACUCCUACGGGAGGCAGCAGUGGGGAAUAUUGGACAAUGGGCGCAAGCCUGAUCCAGCAAUGCCGCGUGAGUGAUGAAGGCCCUAGGGUUGUAAAGCUCUUUUACCCGGGAAGAUAAUGACUGUACCGGGAGAAUAAGCCCCGGCUAACUCCGUG